AACCUGGUUGAUCUUGCCAGUAGUCAUAUGCUUGUCUCACAGAUUAAGCCAUGCAAGUGAAAGUACAUAUGUAAGUAAUAUAUUGAAACUGCGAACGGCUCAUUAAAACAGUUAUAAUCUACUUGAUGUUUUUAAUAUAAGGAUAACUACGGAAAAUCUGUAGCUAAUACUUGUGAAAAUACCUUUUGAUAUAUACAUAUGUAUGUAUCAUUAAGGUAUGUAUUUGUUAGAUAUAAGAAUAAAAUAAAUAUAAUUGAAUUAUAACAAAGAAGAAACACAUAAAAUAUGUGUAUUAUCAAUCGAGUAUCUGACCUAUCAGCUUUUGAUGUUAGGGUAUUGACCUAACAUGGCUAUGACGGGUAACGGGGAAUUAGAGUUCGAUUCCGGAGAGGGAGCCUGAGAAAUAGCUACCACAUCUAAGGAAGGCAGCAGGCGCGUAAAUUACCCAAUUCUAAAAAAGAGAGGUAGUGACAAGAAAUAACAAU
This 485-nucleotide non-coding RNA is filed under the name Plasmodium falciparum Tanzania (2000708). RNAcentral's name for it is "Eukaryotic small subunit ribosomal RNA". It matches the Rfam family "Eukaryotic small subunit ribosomal RNA", at positions 1 to 484 of the family's 1831-position model. The record is from Rfam by way of RNAcentral. Lineage: Eukaryota; Apicomplexa; Aconoidasida; Haemosporida; Plasmodiidae.